RNAcentral lists this long non-coding RNA (951 nucleotides) under Pan troglodytes (chimpanzee). RNAcentral's name for it is "long non-coding RNA NONPTRT007898". The record is from RNAcentral. Lineage: Eukaryota; Metazoa; Chordata; Mammalia; Primates; Hominidae.
CAUCCAUUGUGUCUGUCUGCCCUCAGGUCAGUAACAUCAACCAGCCCCUGGAGAUUACAGCCAUCUCGUCCCCGGAGACCUCCCUGAAGAGCUCCCCUGUGCCCUACCAGGACCACGACCAGCCCCCCGUGCUCAAGAAGGAGCGGCCUCUGAGCCAGACCAAUGGGGCACACUACUCCCCACUCACCUCAGACGAGGAGCCAGGCUCUGAGGACGAGCCCAGCAGUGCUCGAAUUGAGAGAAAAAUUGCAACAAUCUCCUUAGAAAGCAAAUCUCCCCCGAAAACCUUGGAAAACGGUGAGUGACAAGUGUUUUGCGGCGUGGCCAGGCCUGUCCGUGCGGCCGUGGUGCCCAGUCAGUGCUGCUGACCCACCUGCUGGCCCGCUGCAUCGUGUUCCGCAUGGUGCUGGCGCGCCGCGUCGUGUCCUGCGUGGUGCUGGCCUGCUGCGUCGUGUCCUGCGUGGGCGCCGACACUGGGGGCGCUGGGCUUCCAGAACUGCCUCUGGGAGGCCCUCACUGCAGCCCAGGGCCUCUGCGCACACGCCAUGCUCUCACAGUGGGUGGCUGACCUGUGGGGAUCGUCACCUUGGGUCCCCUGUUCGCUUUGCACCCUGGCCUUCCCCCCGAGUGGUGCCUGCGUCCUCAGUGAGGACCCUGACCUGCUCUGGGGCAGCCCCACCUCCCCUCCCGGAGGCUGCUGACCUCAGCAUUUUCCCCAGAGCUCAUCCCGCAUGGCCUCUGAGACCCGCUUCAGCUGCCUUUGUCCUGUCUUCCGCCCUCCUGUCCCAUCCAGUCCCGUCCCCUGCCAUCUCAUCCUGUUCUGUACUACUCCUGUCCCAUCCCAUCUUGUCCCCUCCCGUCCCCUUCCCUCCUGUCCUCUCCCAUCCUGUCCCGCUUGGCAUCUUGAGUGUCUGUGACCAGCCCUGCCUGCAGAGUUGUCCGGGCCGUGGC